GAUGAACGCUGGCGGCGUGCCUAAUACAUGCAAGUCGAGCGAACAGACGAGGAGCUUGCUUCUCUGACGUUAGCGGCGCGCGGGAGAGAAACACGUGGAAAACCUAUCUAUAAGACUGAGAUCACUUCGAGAAAACGGCGCAAAUCGCGGAAACUAUCUUGAACCGAAUGGUUAAAUAGUGAAAGACGGAUUUGCUGUCACUUAUAGAUGGAUCCGCGCCGCAUUAGCUAGUUGGGAAGGUAACGGCAUACCAAGGCAACGAAGCGUAGCCGACCUGAGAGGGUGGACCGCCAGCCUGGAUCUGAGGCUCGGCCCAGACAUCGACGGUGAGCCGCAGUAGAGAAUCUUACGCAAGGGGCGAGUGCCUGACGGAGCAACGUCGCGGGAGUGCUGAAGGUCUGCCGAUCGUUAAACUCUGAUAUUAGGGAAGAAGAAAUGUGUAAUUGACUAGGAAGGUCUUGACGGUACCUAAUCAGAAAGCCACGGCUAACUACGUG
This 497-nucleotide ribosomal RNA is filed under the name uncultured bacterium. RNAcentral describes it as "partial 16S ribosomal RNA". It matches the Rfam family "Bacterial small subunit ribosomal RNA", at positions 28 to 507 of the family's 1533-position model. The record is from RNAcentral.